UGGACGAAAGUCUGACGGAGCAACGCCGCGUGAGUGAAGAAGGUUUUCGGAUCGUAAAACUCUGUUUUCAGGGACGAAUGUGCUAUUUGUGAAUAAUGAGUAGUAAUGACGGUACCUGACAAGAAAGCCACGGCUAACUACGUGCCAGCAGCCGCGGUAAUACGUAGGUGGCAAGCGUUGUCCGGAAUUAUUGGGCGUAAAGCGCGCGCAGGUGGGAUAAUAAGUCUGAUGUUAAAGUUCGGGGCUCAACCCCGUGAAGCAUUUGGAUACUGUUAUUCUUGAGUGCAGGAGAGGAAAGUGGAAUUCCUAGUGUAGCGGUGAAAUGCGUAGAUAUUAGGAGGAACACCAGUGGCGAAGGCGACUUUCUGGACUGUGUCUGACACUGAGGCGCGAAAGCCAGGGUAGUGAACGGGAUUAGAUACCCCGGUAAUCCUGGCCGUAAACGAUGGGUACUAGGUGUUGGGGGUAUCGACCCCUCCAGUGCCGGAGUUAACGCAAUAAGUACCCCGCCUGGGGAGUACG
Molecule: ribosomal RNA, 522 nt
Filed under: uncultured bacterium
Lineage: Bacteria
Description: bacterial SSU rRNA
Rfam family: Bacterial small subunit ribosomal RNA
Source: RNAcentral